This 278-nucleotide ribosomal RNA is filed under the name uncultured bacterium. Its description in RNAcentral is "partial 16S ribosomal RNA". It matches the Rfam family "Bacterial small subunit ribosomal RNA", at positions 29 to 334 of the family's 1533-position model. The record is from RNAcentral.
AACGAACGCUGGCGGCAGGCCUAACACAUGCAAGUCGAACGAACUCUUCGGAGUGAGUGGCGCACGGGUGCGGAACGCGUGGGAAUAUACCCCAGGGUGCGGAACAACGUCUGGAAACGGACGCUAAUACCGCAUAAUGACUUCGGUCCAAAGAUUUAUCGCCCAGGGAUUAGCCCGCGUCUGAUUAGAUUGUUGGUGAGGUAACGGCUCACCAAGUCUACGAUCAGUAGCUGGUCUGAGAGGAUGAUCAGCCACACUGGAACUGAGACACGGUCCAG